RNAcentral lists this ribosomal RNA (495 nucleotides) under Peltocopta crassiventris. RNAcentral's name for it is "partial 16S ribosomal RNA". It matches the Rfam family "Archaeal large subunit ribosomal RNA", at positions 1934 to 2655 of the family's 2987-position model. The record is from RNAcentral. Lineage: Eukaryota; Metazoa; Arthropoda; Insecta; Hemiptera; Tessaratomidae.
UUUAUUUUAGGUCUUCCCUGCUCAAUGAUUGUUUAUGAUUUAUUUAAUAGCCGCAGUAUAUUGACUGUGCAAAGGUAGCAUAAUCAUUUGUCUUUUAAUUGUAGGCUUGUAUGAAUGGGUUGAUGAGGUAUAACCUUUCUUUAAUUUUUAAAAUGAACUUAAUAUUUUGGUUAAAAAGCUAAAAUGUAUUUGAGGGACGAGAAGACCCUAUAGAAUUUUAUAGUCUUUAUGUUAUGGUUUAUAGGAUAUUUUAAUUAUAUAACUUUUUAUGACUAUUUUGUUGGGGCGACAGGGUAAUUUUAUUAACUUGCUUUUUAAAUUAUUUAUUGAUUUAUAUUUUACUGAUCCUUUAUUUUGGAUAACAAGAUUAAAUUACCUUAGGGAUAACAGCGUAAUUCUUUUGGAGAGUUCUUAUCGAUGAAGGAGUUUGCGACCUCGAUGUUGGAUUAAAAUUAGUAUUAAGUGCAGAAGCUUAAUUACUAGGUCUGUUCGACC